AAUGCGUAGAUAUAUGGUAGACACCAGUGGCGAAGGCGGCUGUCUGGUCUGCAACUGACGCUGAGGCUCGAAAGCAUGGGUAGCGAACAGGAUUAGAUACCCUGGUAGUCCAUGCCGUAAACGAUGAGUGCUAAGUGUUGGAGGGUUUCCGCCCUUCAGUGCUGCAGCUAACGCAUUAAGCACUCCGCCUGGGGAGUACGACCGCAAGGUUGAAACUCAAAGGAAUUGACGGGGGCCCGCACAAGCGGUGGAGCAUGUGGUUUAAUUCGAAGCAACGCGAAGAACCUUACCAGGUCUUGACAUCUAGUGCAAACCUUAGAGAUAAGGAGUUCCCUUCGGGGACGCAAAGACAGGUGGUGCAUGGUUGUCGUCAGCUCGUGUCGUGAGAUGUUGGGUUAAGUCCCGCAACGAGCGCAACCCUUGUUAUUAGUUGCCAGCAUUAAGUUGGGCACUCUAGUGAGACUGCCGGUGACAAACCGGAGGAAGGUGGGGAUGACGUCAAAUCAUCAUGCCCCUUAUGACCUUGGGCA
RNAcentral lists this ribosomal RNA (530 nucleotides) under uncultured Lactobacillus sp. Its description in RNAcentral is "bacterial SSU rRNA". It matches the Rfam family "Bacterial small subunit ribosomal RNA", at positions 685 to 1215 of the family's 1533-position model. The record is from RNAcentral. Lineage: Bacteria; Bacillati; Bacillota; Bacilli; Lactobacillales; Lactobacillaceae.